CAGAGAAUGUGCCCUCUAGGGUAGAUCUCCAACCCUUUGUUUACAAUAUACCUUUAUUGCUUUGGUGGGCCUGUCUCCAAGACUGCUGGCUUACGCUGGCUAGUGCCUGCCAGAGGACUUAAAACUCUUAAUUUAUUGUCAGAGUAUCUUAAAAUGAUUA
RNAcentral lists this unclassified non-coding RNA (160 nucleotides) under uncultured Helotiales. RNAcentral's name for it is "sequence contains ITS1". The record is from RNAcentral. Lineage: Eukaryota; Fungi; Ascomycota; Leotiomycetes; Helotiales.